RNAcentral lists this ribosomal RNA (455 nucleotides) under uncultured bacterium. Its description in RNAcentral is "bacterial SSU rRNA". It matches the Rfam family "Bacterial small subunit ribosomal RNA", at positions 340 to 786 of the family's 1533-position model. The record is from RNAcentral.
UACGGAAGGCAGCAGUGGGGAAUAUUGCACAAUGGGCGCAAGCCUGAUGCAGCCAUGCCGCGUGUAUGAAAAAGGCCUUCGGGUUGUAAAGUACUUUCAGUCGUGAGGAAGGUGUUAAGGUUAAUAACCUUAGCAAUUGACGUUAGCGACAGAAGAAGCACCGGCUAACUCCGUGCCAGCAGCCGCGGUAAUACGGAGGGUGCGAGCGUUAAUCGGAAUUACUGGGCGUAAAGGGCACGCAGGCGGUUAAUUAAGUUGGAUGUGAAAUCCCCGGGCUUAACCUGGGAAUGGCAUUCAAGACUGGUUAGCUAGAGUCUUGUAGAGGGGGUUAGAAUUCCAUGUGUAGCGGUGAAAUGCGUAGAGAUGUGGAGGAAUACCGGUGGCGAAGGCGGCCCCUGGACAAAGACUGACGCUCAUGUGCGAAAGCGUGGGGAGCGAAACAGGGAUUAGAUACC